Molecule: RNA transcript, 3111 nt
Organism: Cornus florida
Lineage: Eukaryota; Viridiplantae; Streptophyta; Magnoliopsida; Cornales; Cornaceae
Exons: 2
Source: RefSeq, a predicted model, not a curated record
CCCAUGUGAGUUCGCUUAAUUAGUUAAUUAGGGUCAGGCCGCUGGGGCACAUUUGUCUCGAUGAAAAGAGCUUCACAGGUAUACUCCUACAUUUUUUUAAAUUUUUUUUUUACAUAUAAAAGAUCUAUAUUUAUAAUAUCACAUAAUUAAAGUCUUAUAAUUUCCAAUAGAAAUAAAGUUAACCAAAUUAAUGACCGUGGAUGCGAACUUUCACGGUUCACUACAGAUUGUAAUCCAAAAUAAUCUUUCACUGUUUGAGCCAAAUUACCAUGUUACCCCAUCUCAUUAAUUCACCCAAACAAAGCCUAUAAUUUUUUUUUUAGGGCAAUUGUGUUCAUGCCCAGCCAACCUUUCCUUUUCUCUCUCUAGAAUCCACCCCAUUUUCUCCCUCCGUACAACAACGAUGUAUAACCCAGAAGAAGAUCACAGAUUCUUCUGAAAGAGUAAUCUAAAACACACAACCUAGUUCAUAGAAUAUUGAAAUCUCUAAACCCAUUGAGGAAGACACCUCUCUCUCUCCAUGGGUUCUGAUUCUCUCUCAAUCUUGACCUCAAAUAAUAAUAAGCCGACACCAAUCAAAACGCACGAAGAAGAAGAUCCACCAAAUCAAAUCACAGCUCUUCUCUCCUUCAACACGACACCUCCUCAACCUCUCCCUCCAAAUCCACCACCACCGCCGCCGUCAUCAUCAUCUCUUUCAUCCUCACCACUUCCGUUGCUAUCUCCGCCGCCGUCUCCUUCGCCUUCAUCUUAUUCUCUGACUAAAUCUGAAUCUCAAUCCCACCCCAAUCAAACCUCUGAAUCAAUUGAAAAUUUUGCUCGUCCUCUCACCAAACUCAACCACCCAGUUGUUCUCCUGAUUUCAUUCGAUGGGUUUCGAUUUAGGUACCAAUUCAAGACCCCGACGCCCAACAUCCAUCACCUGAUCAGUAACGGGACCGAAGCUCAAACGGGUUUGAUUCCGGUGUUCCCAACCGUAACAUUCCCAAGCCAUUACUCAAUUGUGACCGGAUUGUACCCUGCUUUUCAUGGAAUCAUCAUCAACCAUUUUGUUGAUCCGCACACUGGUGCGACCUUCACUAUGAGCAGUCACGAGCCCAACUGGUGGUUAGGCGAACCUUUGUGGGAAACGGUGGUCAAUCACUCUUUCUUUUCUCUAAAACCUAAUUUUUAGGGGCGAACCAACAGCCAAUGCCAAUGCUACAUCCACUAUCGAAGCGAUCGCCACCUCCACAGCCGCCGCCGCAACCUCCACAGCCGCCGCAACUUCCACAGUCGCCGCAACCACCACAGAUACAGUAGCCGUUGGUGUUGAGAUGGUGUUGUAGAGAUUGACGACGGAACUGACGUUGACGUUGACGAUAUCCUUUGAUCAACAAUUGUCACAGCAGGAGGGGCAUUGAAAUCUCGACAAUCUGGACAUCAUCAAUGUCGAUUGGGACAACACCAACGGCUCCAUUCUCGAUCUCAAUAACAUCAACGGCCUACAUCUGUGGAGAUUGCGGCCGGUUGUUGUAGUUGUGGAGGUGGCUGUCGGUAAACAGUGAUCCACAGUCGUCACAGGAAAGAGAUCAAGCUGUUGGGAUCCUCAAGGUGAUUUGAGAGCAGAAAUGAUCAAUUUGAAAGGGACCAAAAGUCCUAUGCAGGUUGCUGUAGCGUUGGAAGAAAUGCCUCUUGCCGGAAUGUAUUCAGUUUCCUUUUACGACUUUCAAGCCAAAUACCAUGAAUUGGGUCAAGAAGCUGAAUACGGUGUUAAUUCUGUUGGAGGCAUCAAAAGCUUUUGUCUUGGGGAAGAAAACAGUCUCAUAUUUAGCACCUAUGGUUCAAGGUUUUUAAUUUACAUUCUUUAAUUUAAUAUAAUUUAAUUUAAUUUAAUUUUGCUUUAUUUUAUUUUAUUUUGCUUAUUUAUUCAUCAAUGUAUUAGUAUUAAAUUAUUUUACUUAAUUAUUUUGCUUUUGAUGCGAUUUCAAGUUUUGAUGUGGAGAAAACGUAUCUGCUUAUGCUAUUUUUUUCUAUGAUUGUUGUCUGGAUAGUUGCCCAGUGUCCCCUUAAAGAUAAUUUUAGCACUAUUUUCUAAGAUUUAUGGCAUGUUUCAACUCCUUUAUUCAACUGUUUUCUCAUCAGUUUAAGAUUUUCCUUCUAAUUGUUCAGGUGAAUUAACGCCGUUUUAAGCAUAAAGUGUUAAUUCAUUCAUUCGUAUGUGAUAGGUUGUUCAUUACUUGUUUAUCUUAGCUUUUGUUAAAAAAAGGAUAUAGAUAUAGAUAUAGAUAUAGAUAGAGGUUCUUGUCCGACAGCGGAUCCAGGUAGGGUGGGUUUAGGCAGCUCCGCCUAACAUGUUAAGCUUUUGGUGGGAUGUAAAGUGCUCCUGGGAAAGUAGUGAUAAAAAAGUUUCAUCAGAGAUUCAGGUGAAGUUCAUUUGCAUUACAAAAUGCCGCAAUAUUUAAAAAUUAUAUAUGAUGAUGUGGAAAGUUCUUUGCUUUCUUUCCUUCCUAGUUGCACUCAAAAUAGUGUAUGGAGGAGUGAUUGUACUUCUUGGAUUAUGAGUGAAAUGAAUAUUUUAUCAAGCAUUACAUAGUUAAAAAUUAGCUUAUCGGUUCGCACUUCACGAUACUUUGGAUCGUGUUCACAACGUGUUUCAUGUUGCGGAAAUUCCUGCGAGAUGAGGAUCGGUAUCAACAUAUCGAUGUGGGGGAGACUGAGUUAUAGCCGGAUGCAACCUAUUUGGAGCCACCGUGUCGUAUUGUCAACUGUCGGGAUCAAAUCAUUCGUAACAAGGUUAUCCCUUUAGUUCGUGUGCAGUGGAGUCAUCACAAUGAGGCAGAGUCCACUUGGGAACAGAAGGAUGUUAUUCGCUCGCAGUUUUCUGAAUUAUGGGAAAAAGGCGUUCGUCAGUUCCAAGGUUAGAGCUUGAACGUGCAGAGCAGAUACAGACACUCAUUCCUCCGAAUACAUUGGAAUACUCUCUAUGUUUAGUUUUAUGUUUCGGUUCAGUUGCUUCAGUUUCAGUUUAGGUUUUUAAUAAGGGGUCCACUGGAUGAAUUUCCCGAAUUGUAACCUUGGAGGAUUUGGUUCAUCGGAUUUUAAUAAUUAUUAUUAAGGAUUUUUAUCUUA